Molecule: ribosomal RNA, 253 nt
Filed under: uncultured bacterium
Lineage: Bacteria
Description: partial 16S ribosomal RNA
Rfam family: Bacterial small subunit ribosomal RNA
Source: RNAcentral
UACGGGGGGGGCAAGCGUUGUUCGGAAUUACUGGGCGUAAAGGGCUCGUAGGCGGCCAACUAAGUCAGACGUGAAAUCCCCAGGCUCAACCUGGGAACUGCGUCUGAUACUGGAUGGCUUGAAUCCGGGAGAGGGAUGCAGAAUUCCAGGUGUAGCGGUGAAAUGCGUAGAUAUCUGGAGGAACACCGGUGGCGAAGGCGGGUCUCUGGGCAACUCCUGACGCUGAGGCGCGAAAGCGUGGGGAGCAAACGGG